RNAcentral lists this ribosomal RNA (474 nucleotides) under uncultured bacterium. RNAcentral describes it as "bacterial SSU rRNA". It matches the Rfam family "Bacterial small subunit ribosomal RNA", at positions 33 to 507 of the family's 1533-position model. The record is from RNAcentral.
GACGACGCUGGCGGCGUGCCUAACACAUGCAAGUCGAGCGGGGUUGAAGCGAGGGGUAACUCGGACUUCUACCUAGCGGCGGACGGGUGAGUAACGCGUGGGCAACCUGCCUCAAGGUUUGGGAUAACAGCUCGAAAGGGCUGCUAAUACCGGAUAUGCCUGUGGCCUCGCAUGGGGCUAUGAGCAAAGGGGAAACCCGCCUUGAGAUGGGCCCGCGUCCCAUCAGCUAGUUGGUGAGGUGAAGGCUCACCAAGGCGACGACGGGUAGCCGGCCUGAGAGGGUGACCGGCCACACUGGGACUGAGACACGGCCCAGACUCCUACGGGGGGCAGCAGUGGGGGAUCUUGCACAAUGGGCGAAAGCCUGAUGCAGCGACGCCGCGUGAGCGAAGAAGGCCUUCGGGUUGUAAAGCUCUGUCUGGAGGGACGAAACAAAUGACGGUACCUCCGGAGGAAGCCACGGCUAACUACGUG